GAUGAACGCUGGCGGCGUGCUUAACACAUGCAAGUCGAACGGAAAGGCUCCUGCUUGCAGGGGUACUCGAGUGGCGAACGGGUGAGUAACACGUGGGUGAUCUGCCCUGCACUUCGGGAUAAGCCUGGGAAACUGGGUCUAAUACCGGAUAGGACGAUGGUUUGGAUGCCAUUGUGGAAAGUUUUUCGGUGUGGGAUGAGCUCGCGGCCUAUCAGCUUGUUGGUGGGGUAAUGGCCUACCAAGGCGUCGACGGGUAGCCGGCCUGAGAGGGUGCACGGCCACAUUGGGACUGAGAUACGGCCCAGACUCCUACGGGAGGCAGCAGUGGGGAAUAUUGCACAAUGGGCGCAAGCCUGAUGCAGCGACGCCGCGUGGGGGAUGACGGCCUUCGGGUUGUAAACUCCUUUCGCUAGGGACGAAGCGCAAGUGACGGUACCUGGAGAAGAAGCACCGGCUAACUACGUG
Molecule: ribosomal RNA, 465 nt
Filed under: uncultured bacterium
Lineage: Bacteria
Description: partial 16S ribosomal RNA
Rfam family: Bacterial small subunit ribosomal RNA
Source: RNAcentral